UUUGCUAUUCUGCCUGUCAGGAUAGACAUCUCAUUUUCCAAAUUGCGCUCUGAGUCUGUGGUCUUCAGGUGUCUUGGCUUGCAUGGAUAUGUCCCUCAGAGUGAGUGAUUGGCUUCCAGUUUAGAAGGUUGUGGAACCUUUUGGAGGACGAACCUCACCAGAGGAAGCUGGUUGCUCUGGCUCCCAAGAGCUGAAACUGGCGUGACUUGGGACUACCUCAGAGGGAACAGCUAGAAGACCUCACCCCUUCAAAGGAUAACUGAGUUCAACAUCCAGCCAAGGGAAUGCAUUUGGCAGCCUCUCUCAUCGAACAAGAGCUCAUCCAUUGGCUUGACUGGCAGGUGAGCGAGGCCCAGGGACGCUCCCAUCUCUGCUGUCCCCGUGCUGGGAUGCCAGGCAAGCAUUUGCCGGGGAUCUACACUCAGGUCCUGUGCAUGCUCCCUUAACGAUGUCAUACAUGAGGCAUCUCCUCG
Long non-coding RNA from Mus musculus (house mouse), 473 nucleotides. RefSeq annotates it as predicted gene, 52486. The transcript has 3 exons. NCBI's taxonomy places the organism in Eukaryota, Metazoa, Chordata, Mammalia, Rodentia, Muridae. The record is from RefSeq and is a predicted model, not a curated record.